Molecule: long non-coding RNA, 593 nt
Organism: Lolium rigidum
Lineage: Eukaryota; Viridiplantae; Streptophyta; Magnoliopsida; Poales; Poaceae
Exons: 3
Source: RefSeq, a predicted model, not a curated record
CGGUGGUCCAUGGUCCCAACUCGGUCGGCGAGCUACUGCACCGCGCGGGAGCUGGUGAGUUCCGCGUUGAGGUAAUCUCGCUUAGAUUGAAGCCUGCCGGGGUUGCUCGUCGCCUAGCAUCUCCUCCGCCUAGAUUCGUCGCAAACAACCUCAUCUAGGGUCGAGCCAAUGGCACCAGUCCUUGACGAAGAUGCAUCGGGAGUUGACUACAGCUUAGUGUGGAGUGGCAUGCACCUAGGCGAUCUUAUACUGCUUAUAGACACCAAAGAAGCAAAAUCUGAGGUAUAUCAUGUGAUUCCUCUUCAAUUCUACUUGUCUAAUUUUAAUGUGUCGUGGUUUCAUAUAGAGUUUAUUUCUGUAUUUCAGGUUUAGUCGAACUUAUAACAUGACCAGUCAUGAUGCCGGUAUGGGAAACUAAACAAUUCAUUGUUGAAGUGAAGUAUCAAUCCUCGUCCGCUUUGUAUAGCCAAUAAUUAAAGAUUGAGAUGUUCAAAGAACUUUCAAAGUUGCCUAAUAUCUAUGACAGAUUUGCAAGAUUAUUGAUUAAGAACAUAUGUGAAUUGGACGGUGUUAAGAGGGGCCUGCCUUUCCAG